CAGUUGGUUAGAGCGCGCGCUUGAUAAGCGUGAGGUCGGAAGUUCAAGUCUUCCCAGGCCCACCACUUGAUCGAGCGCAUGUGUCUCUCUUGAGAUUGGCCUGUAGCAUUCGUCUUCUGGUUACGGGGCCAUAGCUCAGCUGGGAGAGCGCGUGCUUUGCAAGCAUGAGGUCGUCGGUUCGAUCCCGUCUGGCUCCACCAGAUGAAGUCGAAGAUCGACGCUGCAUGCUGCCGUGAUCGUCAUUCGUCCGCGAAACAUCAAUUCGCACGCGUUAUCCGCAAUCGGAUGCGCUGUGCGUGUUUUCUGACAUCGUAAAGAGGAGAUCGAUCCGAGUUGGGUCGCAUGGAAAUUCUAUGCGCAUCCUUCACUAUCUCCGGAUCAUUUCGGCGCUCGCGCCUUUUGCAGAUUAACGUCUGCAAGAUGUGCGGGUUGUAAAUGAUCCUGUUAGCGAAGCCUGACCGCCUCGCUAUCGGUUCGAUCUUACGAAGCAAGCUGGUCUUUCUAAUCAGUGUCCGCUGCACGAGCUCUCCUGGUGAAGGUUCGUGUGGAAUACAUUCUGCCGAGUGUGUGGACAUUGAUAAUGAGAGCAAUCAAGUGCCUUAAGGGUGUUCGGUGGAUGCCUUGGCGCUGAGAGGCGAUGAAGGACGUGCUACGCUGCGAUAAGCCGUGGGGAGCUGCGAAGAAGC
Molecule: unclassified non-coding RNA, 686 nt
Filed under: Bradyrhizobium sp.
Lineage: Bacteria; Pseudomonadati; Pseudomonadota; Alphaproteobacteria; Hyphomicrobiales; Nitrobacteraceae
Description: partial contains 16S-23S ribosomal RNA intergenic spacer and 23S ribosomal RNA
Rfam family: tRNA (bases 125-197)
Source: RNAcentral